AAAACGGAAAUAAAGAAACGUGCCGUGUCUUCGAAUUAAACUAUAAUUUUCUCUGGAUUUGAAAGUUCGUGGAAACUGUCGGGAUGAUGGGUCACAUAAUAUGCUGCCAGAUCUUAGCCUGAUUUGGGCCACAUAUCACUGGACUGAUCUGGGCCACACUCCUCCCAUCAACAAUCGGCCCUCAUGUUGUUUGCCAGAUCCCAGCCGUGCCAUCAAUGCCACACAUGGCCCAGCUCUGGCUGAAAGGGUACAUGCCAUUGCCAACAGGAGACCAGCAGUGCCACCUUGAGGCCACAUGUGGGAAACAUAAUUUAGCAAUGUCCAGAUGAUCUAUAGCAAAAGCCAUCUCCAGCACCAGCAGCAGAGACUGUUUAAGCUUUGUUCUUAUUUUUAUCACACAUGAACACAUAGAGAAUGGGGUUCAGACAGUUGUCACAGUCUUCAGCUGGUGUGCCCAGGAUGGCCACCAAAUGACAUGUCUUUCUGUGAGCACAUGGCUUGUGUUGUGUUUGUUUGGUGUCAUGUGCUCGCUCCUGUCUUUUGUCUGACCCCGCCCAUCUUGUUACCUCAUUAUUGUUUUACGGUAGUUGCUCCAUCUGUGUUUCUUUCUUUCUUCUAGAAUCCAUUCUUCUAACUCCACUCACUUGUUCUCUCGUUACCUAAUUCAUUAAUUACUUUAUCCCAGCUGUUCACCUGAUAGCCUCUUCUUUAUAAACUCCCUGCGUUUUCUUUUCUGGGCUCAUAUGUUUCACGUUUGUAUUGUUUUGUGCCUUUGAUGGCUGUAUGCACUGUGCUCAGUUUUGUUUCAUUGUUGAGGUUACUCUGGUAUUUUCCCUCUUCGGGGUGGUUUCAGUUGUGUUUUUGUUUAUUUUGGUGAGUUAUAAAGACUCCUCCUCUGCCUGCACUUGAGUCUUUGCCUCUUAUGAGCUGUGACAGAACCAGGCAUAUACUGACAAUCAUUGCCAUCUUGUAUACUUUGGUACUCCUGCCAUUUACUAUGCUUUUAAAACAAAUCUGGCAAACAUGGUUUAGAAACCAACAUGUGAAAAAAGACCAAAUCGCAAUUUGUGAAGAUACAAUGAUCAGAAAGGGGAUGAGAAAGCCCACUGUAAAUUCAUAUCUUGUCAGAAAUGUAAAAGUAAACAUACAUAGAAAGGAAUGCUGUAGCCAAUGGAUGAAACCCACACAAUUAUGCAGAUGAUCUUGGCUUUAAAGGGGGGUGAAAUGCUCGU
Carassius gibelio (silver crucian carp) is the source of this 1232-nucleotide long non-coding RNA. RefSeq lists it as uncharacterized. NCBI's taxonomy places the organism in Eukaryota, Metazoa, Chordata, Actinopteri, Cypriniformes, Cyprinidae. The record is from RefSeq and is a predicted model, not a curated record. The transcript is spliced from 3 exons.